RNAcentral lists this ribosomal RNA (200 nucleotides) under uncultured organism. RNAcentral describes it as "partial small subunit ribosomal RNA". It matches the Rfam family "Bacterial small subunit ribosomal RNA", at positions 1184 to 1382 of the family's 1533-position model. The record is from RNAcentral.
GUCAAGUCAGCAUGACCCUUAUGUCCUGGGCGACACACACGCUACAAUGGCCGGUACAAAGGGCAGCCAAGCGGUAACGCGGAGCCAAUCCCUAAAAGCCGGUCUCAGUUCGGAUUGGGGUCUGCAACUCGACCCCAUGAAGUCGGAGUCGCUAGUAAUCGCAGAUCAGCAAUGCUGCGGUGAAUACGUUCCCGGGCCUU